UAGGGAAUCUUCCGCAAUGGGCGAAAGCCUGAUGGAGCAACGCCGCGUGUGUGAUGAAGGCUUUAGGGUCGUAAAGCACUGUUGUAUGGGAAGAAAUGCUAGAAUAGGGAAUGAUUCUAGUUCGACGGUACCAUACCAGAAAGGGACGGCUAAAUACGUGCCAGCAGCCGCGGUAAUACGUAUGUCCCGAGCGUUAUCCGGAUUUAUUGGGCGUAAAGCGAGCGCGGACGGUUGAUUAAGUCUGAUGUGAAAGCCCGGAGCUCAACUCCGGAAUGGCAUUGGAAACUGGUUAACUUGAGUGUUGUAGAGGUAAGUGGAACUCCAUGUGUAGCGGUGGAAUGCGUAGAUAUAUGGAAGAACACCAGUGGCGAAGGCGGCUUACUGGACAACAACUGACGUUGAGGCUCGAAAGUGUGGGUAGCAAACAGGAUUAGAUACCCUGGUAGUCCACACCGUAAACGAUGAAUACUAGGUGUUAGGAGGUUUCCGCCUCUUAGUGCCGAAGCUAACGCAUUAAGUAUUCCGCCUGGGGAGUACGACCGCAAGGUUG
This 550-nucleotide ribosomal RNA is filed under the name uncultured bacterium. RNAcentral's name for it is "bacterial SSU rRNA". It matches the Rfam family "Bacterial small subunit ribosomal RNA", at positions 355 to 896 of the family's 1533-position model. The record is from RNAcentral.